Molecule: long non-coding RNA, 374 nt
Organism: Alosa alosa (allis shad)
Lineage: Eukaryota; Metazoa; Chordata; Actinopteri; Clupeiformes; Clupeidae
Exons: 3
Source: RefSeq, a predicted model, not a curated record
ACUCAUUGCUGCUGAUCAUUCCGACAGCCAGCACGACAGUACAAUAAACGUCAUUUGAUUGAAUGAAAAACCGAGGGGGAAGGGGGAAAGGUUAGGCUAUCUGACACGCAUGCUACACGCACGGAGAGUGUCAAAGCACAGGCUACUUUGCACUGGCAGCCAAGCGAGCGGGUGUGUCAACAACGACAGCAGAACUUCGUACAAUGUGUCUUUGCUGGUGGAUGCUUCUACUGAAUGUGAUUAUGACUGGAGUUACAACGGGACCAAUAUUGCCAGUGAUGGAGGAUAUUUGAGAGGUGUUGUUUUGGAGAACAAACGUGACAUCAUGAUCCUACCUUCAUGCCAGUCCCUAGUUCAAUAUUGGGUGCAAUGCA